This 478-nucleotide ribosomal RNA is filed under the name uncultured bacterium. Its description in RNAcentral is "partial 16S ribosomal RNA". It matches the Rfam family "Bacterial small subunit ribosomal RNA", at positions 29 to 507 of the family's 1533-position model. The record is from RNAcentral.
AAUGAACGCUGGCGGCGUGCUUAACACAUGCAAGUCGAACGGGAAACCUUUUAUUGAAGCUUCGGCAGAUUUAGCUGGUUUCUAGUGGCGGACGGGUGAGUAACGCGUGGGUAACCUGCCUUAUACAGGGGGAUAACAGUCAGAAAUGGCUGCUAAUACCGCAUAAGCGCACAGAGCUGCAUGGCUCAGUGUGAAAAACUCCGGUGGUAUAAGAUGGACCCGCGUUGGAUUAGCUGGUUGGUGGGGUAACGGCCCACCAAGGCGACGAUCCAUAGCCGGCCUGAGAGGGUGAACGGCCACAUUGGGACUGAGACACGGCCCAGACUCCUACGGGAGGCAGCAGUGGGGAAUAUUGCACAAUGGGGGAAACCCUGAUGCAGCGACGCCGCGUGAAGGAAGAAGUAUCUCGGUAUGUAAACUUCUAUCAGCAGGGAAGAUAAUGACGGUACCUGACUAAGAAGCCCCGGCUAACUACGUG